RNAcentral lists this ribosomal RNA (1035 nucleotides) under Salmonella enterica subsp. enterica serovar Kentucky. RNAcentral's name for it is "bacterial SSU rRNA". It matches the Rfam family "Bacterial small subunit ribosomal RNA", at positions 1 to 1027 of the family's 1533-position model. Lineage: Bacteria; Pseudomonadati; Pseudomonadota; Gammaproteobacteria; Enterobacterales; Enterobacteriaceae. The record is from RNAcentral.
AAAUUGAAGAGUUUGAUCAUGGCUCAGAUUGAACGCUGGCGGCAGGCCUAACACAUGCAAGUCGAACGGUAGCACAGAGAGCUUGCUCUCGGGUGACGAGUGGCGGACGGGUGAGUAAUGUCUGGGAAACUGCCCGAUGGAGGGGGAUAACUACUGGAAACGGUAGCUAAUACCGCAUAACGUCGCAAGACCAAAGUGGGGGACCUUCGGGCCUCACACCAUCGGAUGUGCCCAGAUGGGAUUAGCUAGUAGGUGGGGUAACGGCUCACCUAGGCGACGAUCCCUAGCUGGUCUGAGAGGAUGACCAGCCACACUGGAACUGAGACACGGUCCAGACUCCUACGGGAGGCAGCAGUGGGGAAUAUUGCACAAUGGGCGCAAGCCUGAUGCAGCCAUGCCGCGUGUAUGAAGAAGGCCUUCGGGUUGUAAAGUACUUUCAGCGGGGAGGAAGGCGUUGUGGUUAAUAACCACAGCGAUUGACGUUACUCGCAGAAGAAGCACCGGCUAACUCCGUGCCAGCAGCCGCGGUAAUACGGAGGGUGCAAGCGUUAAUCGGAAUUACUGGGCGUAAAGCGCACGCAGGCGGUUUGUUAAGUCAGAUGUGAAAUCCCCGGGCUCAACCUGGGAACUGCAUUUGAAACUGGCAAGCUUGAGUCUCGUAGAGGGGGGUAGAAUUCCAGGUGUAGCGGUGAAAUGCGUAGAGAUCUGGAGGAAUACCGGUGGCGAAGGCGGCCCCCUGGACAAAGACUGACGCUCAGGUGCGAAAGCGUGGGGAGCAAACAGGAUUAGAUACCCUGGUAGUCCACGCCGUAAACGAUGUCUACUUGGAGGUUGUGCCCUUGAGGCGUGGCUUCCGGAGCUAACGCGUUAAGUAGACCGCCUGGGGAGUACGGCCGCAAGGUUAAAACUCAAAUGAAUUGACGGGGGCCCGCACAAGCGGUGGAGCAUGUGGUUUAAUUCGAUGCAACGCGAAGAACCUUACCUGGUCUUGACAUCCACGGAAGUUUUCAGAGAUGAGAAUGUGCCUUCGGGAAC